CUGCGAAUGGCUCAUUAAAUCAGUUAUCGUUUAUUUGAUAGUACCUUACUACAUGGAUACCCGUGGUAAUUCUAGAGCUAAUACAUGCUUAAAACCCCGACUUCGGGAGGGGUGUGUUUAUUAGAUAAAAAACCAAUGCCCUUCGGGGCUGCUUGGUGAUUCAUAAUAACCAAACGAAUCGCAUGGCCUUGAGCCGGCGAUGGUUCAUUCAAAUUUCUGCCCUAUCAACUUUCGAUGGUAGGGUCUUGGCCUACCAUGGUAUCAACGGGUAACGGGGAAUUAGGGUUCGAUUCCGGAGAGGGAGCCUGAGAAACGGCUACCACAUCCAAGGAAGGCAGCAGGCGCGCAAAUUACCCAAUCCCGACGCGGGGAGGUAGUGACAAUAAAUACUGAUACAGGGCUCUUUUGGGUCUUGUAAUUGGAAUGAGUACAAUUUAAACCCCUUAACGAGGAACAAUUGGAGGGCAAGUCUGGUGCCAGCAGCCGCGGUAAUUCCAGCUCCAAUAGCGUAUAUUAAAGUUGUUGCAGUUAAAAAGCUCGUAGUUGAACCUUGGGCCAGGCUGGCCGGUCCGCCUAACCGCGUGUACU
This 588-nucleotide ribosomal RNA is filed under the name Neocochlearomyces chromolaenae. RNAcentral's name for it is "SSU rRNA". It matches the Rfam family "Eukaryotic small subunit ribosomal RNA", at positions 87 to 678 of the family's 1831-position model. Lineage: Eukaryota; Fungi; Ascomycota; Dothideomycetes; Muyocopronales; Muyocopronaceae. The record is from RNAcentral.